This 465-nucleotide ribosomal RNA is filed under the name Vreelandella stevensii. RNAcentral describes it as "partial 16S ribosomal RNA". It matches the Rfam family "Bacterial small subunit ribosomal RNA", at positions 338 to 795 of the family's 1533-position model. The record is from RNAcentral. Lineage: Bacteria; Pseudomonadati; Pseudomonadota; Gammaproteobacteria; Oceanospirillales; Halomonadaceae.
CCUACGGGUGGCAGCAGUGGGGAAUAUUGGACAAUGGGCGAAAGCCUGAUCCAGCCAUGCCGCGUGUGUGAAGAAGGCCUUCGGGUUGUAAAGCACUUUCAGUGGGGAAGAAAGCCUUGGGGCUAAUACCCUCGAGGAAGGACAUCACCCACAGAAGAAGCACCGGCUAACUCCGUGCCAGCAGCCGCGGUAAUACGGAGGGUGCGAGCGUUAAUCGGAAUUACUGGGCGUAAAGCGCGCGUAGGCGGUCUGAUAAGCCGGUUGUGAAAGCCCCGGGCUCAACCUGGGAACGGCAUCCGGAACUGUCAGGCUAGAGUGCAGGAGAGGAAGGUAGAAUUCCCGGUGUAGCGGUGAAAUGCGUAGAGAUCGGGAGGAAUACCAGUGGCGAAGGCGGCCUUCUGGACUGACACUGACACUGAGGUGCGAAAGCGUGGGUAGCAAACAGGAUUAGAUACCCUGGUAGUC